CCUCCUUUCUUCCGCCGUGGGGCCUCUUGGGCCCUGGGCGCCCGCCUGCCCCAGCAACGCCGCGUGCAGGAAGAAGGCUUUCGGGUUGUAAACUUCUUUUGACAGGGAAGAGCAGAAGACGGUACCUGUCGAAUAAGCCACGGCUAACUACGUGCCAGCAGCCGCGGUAAUACGUAGGUGGCAAGCGUUGUCCGGAUUUACUGGGUGUAAAGGGCGUGUAGCCGGGCUGACAAGUCAGAUGUGAAAUCCGGGGGCUCAACCCCCGAACUGCAUUUGAAACUGUUGGUCUUGAGUAUCGGAGAGGCAGGCGGAAUUCCUAGUGUAGCGGUGAAAUGCGUAGAUAGUAGGAGGAACACCAGUGGCGAAGGCGGCCUGCUGGACGACAACUGACGGUGAGGCGCGAAAGCGUGGGGAGCAAACAGGAUUAGAUACCCCUGUAGUC
This 442-nucleotide ribosomal RNA is filed under the name uncultured bacterium. RNAcentral's name for it is "partial 16S ribosomal RNA". It matches the Rfam family "Bacterial small subunit ribosomal RNA", at positions 338 to 795 of the family's 1533-position model. The record is from RNAcentral.